GCUGUAAAGUGUGCAUGGUUGUCAUCUAUGUUUGAUAGCAGUAUCUGUCUGUGUUUUUCAUUCAGAUCUGUUAUCCACACAAAUACCAUGCAGCCAAAGAGUAACUUGGGAUCAUAGUACUGGUUUAGUGUUGUCUCUUUGGACACCUACCACUGGCCAGCCUCCAAAUUCCCUUACACAG
This is a small nucleolar RNA of Talpa occidentalis (Iberian mole), 181 nucleotides long. RefSeq annotates it as small nucleolar RNA SNORA23. The transcript has a single exon. NCBI's taxonomy places the organism in Eukaryota, Metazoa, Chordata, Mammalia, Eulipotyphla, Talpidae. The record is from RefSeq and is a predicted model, not a curated record.